UUUUUAUGAGAGUUUGAUCCUGGCUCAGGACGAACGCUGGCGGCGUGCCUAAUACAUGCAAGCCGAACGCUUCUUUUUCCACC
This 83-nucleotide ribosomal RNA is filed under the name Enterococcus faecium. Its description in RNAcentral is "partial 16S ribosomal RNA". It matches the Rfam family "Bacterial small subunit ribosomal RNA", at positions 1 to 82 of the family's 1533-position model. Lineage: Bacteria; Bacillati; Bacillota; Bacilli; Lactobacillales; Enterococcaceae. The record is from RNAcentral.